GAUUAACGCUGGCGGCGUGCAUAACACAUGCAAGUCGAACGAUGAAACUCAUUAGAUUUCUUCGGAAUGAAAAUGAAUGGAUUAGUGGCGAACGGGUGAGUAACGCGUGAGUAACCUGCCUUGCACAAGGGGAUAGCCUCUGGAAACGGAGAAUAAUACCCUAUGAAACCAGACAAUCGCAUGAUAAUCUGGUCAAAAUGUUUAGUGGUGUAAGAUGGACUUGCGUCUGAUUAGCUAGUUGGUGAGAUAAAAGCUCACCAAGGCAACGAUCAGUAGCCGGCUUGAGAGAGUGUACGGCCACAUUGGGACUGAGACACGGCCCAGACUCCUACGGGAGGCAGCAGUGGGGAAUUUUGCACAAUGGGGGAAACCCUGAUGCAGCGAAGCCGCGUGAUUUAGAAGGCCUUCGGGUUGUAAAAAUCUUUUGUAUAGGAAGAAAAUGACAGUACUAUACGAAUAAGGUCCGGCUAAUUACGUG
RNAcentral lists this ribosomal RNA (478 nucleotides) under uncultured bacterium. RNAcentral describes it as "partial 16S ribosomal RNA". It matches the Rfam family "Bacterial small subunit ribosomal RNA", at positions 28 to 507 of the family's 1533-position model. The record is from RNAcentral.